AACUGCCAGGCAGCAGCAGCCUUCCCUGCCCAGGCCUGACUGAAGAUCCAGGCUCCAGACACUUCUGUUCAUUAUCCCCCGGGAUCCCUCCCCUAAAAGUCCCCACUGCCACCCAGCACGGUGGCCUAGCCCAGAACCAGCUCACAAGGGUGCCCAUCAUCCAACAGGCCGGCGGCCUCGAGCAAAAGGGGUGUCUCCCCUGGGGGGCUGAACUGUCCUGGGCAGGUCCUGCGCCCUCCGCAGUCUCUGCCACCGAGGCCACCCAGCCAGCCUCGUGUCACUCACACCUGAAAAAUGCACAAAGGCCCCGGAGGCAUAACAGCUAUGCACCACCACAGGGAAACAAAGGGAGUUUUACACCCUGAAAACAGCCGUCUUGCACACUUCUGAUUUUAUGGGCUUAAAGAAAUGUGUUUGUUUCAUCAAAACAAUAAGUGCCUUCGAUGACGCAUGUCACUCACUGGACCCCGCGCUGGCUGCCUCGCUUAGUCCUGCUGGAGACCCCCAUACCUUUUCGAUAUGCAAUAUAAUUAAUCAAUACAUCCUGGAGCAUUGCAGAGAAUGCCACCCAGCAAAAUAGGAGCUGUCCCCAGCACCAGAGAGGGAGGCCCCGCCCCUCAAAGCACCGCAGGGCAUCAGCAAGCCCCUCCCUCUCGUUUAACUAGGCACCCCCUUUGUAAAGACAGCUGUAGGCGCAGUCAGAAAAUCACCUGCAUUUCUUUCCACUGAAGUAAAAAUACAUGAAAUGAAAUCUAAUCUUCAUGAAUUUUUACACGCAUGCUGCUCAGGGUAGACAUUCGGAGUUGCAUUUUGAAGGCUUUUCUUUAAAUCCCCAUCUUUGUUUCCCGGGCGACGAGUCCCAGUCGCCGGCGGAAUGGCACGGGCGCCCCCAGGUGUCCGAAGUGCGGAGCUGCCGGCGCUGCACACCGCGAGGCUGAUCUAUCACCGGGCUUUUUCGCAGAACUUGAAAAUGCUGUGGAAAUGUUUAUGUUAAAAUCACUAGGUGCUUUCUCGUGGCUUCUCAGCGCUACCUUAUGUGUACACGGAGGACAUCUUUGUCACGCACAAGCUGUGAGGGCAUCCUGGGGGACAACCUGGUGUGUUGAAAAGACAAGGGAUGUGAUGGGACUGUUUUGCCUGGAAAUAACUUCUUGAAACAGAAGCACUUGACAUAGGACUGGAUGGAACAGCUGUGACUACACUCAUUACUAUACCAUUGAAGGAUUGGAACCGAUCAAACUCAGAAAGUAUCUGCUUGCAAUUCUCAGGAUGGCAGCCCCCAGGCCACAGGGCAGAAGGGAACCGAGGGUGGAGGAGUGGUGGGCAGAGGCACUACAACCACAACUUCAGUACACUUCUUUCCAGCUUGUUUCAGAAGUGCCAUAGCUCAGCUGGACUCCAUUUUCAAUCUGAUUAUGAUCAUUGUGAGUUCCCCAUAUGUUACAUUGUCCUACCAGGACAGCCUCCUCACUGCCUGCUAAGAUUAAAAGUAAAUAAAUAGACUAACUGAAGCAUGAAGGAUUUCGGCUAGACAUAAAGAACUAUUUCCUGUUGUUAAGCAGGAGGGACAAGUUGCCAAGAAAGUUUGUGAAAUCCUCUUCUCAAAGGACUUGAAAAGGAGAAAAGUUUUCCCAGUGGUCUGAGGUUUUAGAUGCCAUGUUCACUAGAAGGAGUGGGUUUUCUCCUCUCCAAACCAAUUAAUUCCUGAGAUAUCCUGGUCUGCCUGCAGCAAACAGAGGGUUAACAGCAUCACUACAUCAUUUGCUAUUGGCAAAAUUUUCGAAGAUGGUGUGCCUCUAUUGCCCGCCUCAGUUUAUCUUAGGUCUAUAAUUUCUUUUCAUUUGGAGUAAGUAGUCGGCAAUUGAAAGAGGUGAUUACUUCUCAUAAUGUGUGCAUUGAGUUGUGUGGGCCGGUGGCUGUUGAGUAUGCUUUCUCCAUGUUGUUGCUGGUGUUGUUUUUCAAUAAAAUUUAUAUUCAUUUUUAUCCAA
RNAcentral lists this long non-coding RNA (1988 nucleotides) under Homo sapiens (human). RNAcentral's name for it is "non-protein coding lnc-KY-3:1". Lineage: Eukaryota; Metazoa; Chordata; Mammalia; Primates; Hominidae. The record is from RNAcentral.